GCUCAGCGUUGGAAUGUAGUCCAUCAAUAUCAGAUGUCACGAUUCCUCAAAUCCCCAAGCAUCGGACUCCUUCCGGCAGUUCCGACCUUUGGCCCCUCUGAGUUGUUGGGAUCACCAAGUAACUAGGAUUCGGUCGCAAGUCUGCAUCCCAACUCGAAAUUAGUAUCAAGUUCCUGCACUUGCAGACAUCCUAUCUGUCAACAAACUCAUGCUGAUUGUUUGCGCUUCUGAUGUAUAUCCAACUCUGCAGAACGUCAACGUCAAGUACAUCUGUUUGAAGUUCAUGGUACUGAACUUUACUGUAAGUAAUCUUUAAUAUGAAAGAUGAUGUAUAAUUCCCUUGACAGUUGCCUCUAUUAGAUCUGCUGAUUGCUUCUUUCGACUUACACACAAGUCAAACCCUUACUUUUACAACACUGAUUGAUUCUUACUUAUACAAACCAGAAGCUUAUCAUGAUAGCUAUCUAUUAAGUUGUAGCAUGCAAUAAGAUUUAAGUUCUGCCCUUCUGAUAUCUGAGUUCUUUUGUUGUGAUUGAGUCUGUUUUCUAAUAUUUGACGUAUCACAUUGUGAAAUUGA
Molecule: non-coding RNA, 577 nt
Organism: Physcomitrium patens
Lineage: Eukaryota; Viridiplantae; Streptophyta; Bryopsida; Funariales; Funariaceae
Source: RefSeq, a predicted model, not a curated record